Molecule: long non-coding RNA, 482 nt
Filed under: Cricetulus griseus (Chinese hamster)
Lineage: Eukaryota; Metazoa; Chordata; Mammalia; Rodentia; Cricetidae
Description: lncRNA (ENSCGRG00000025274.1)
Source: RNAcentral
GCUUGAUAUCUUCUCCAAUCAGAAGGGGAAAAAAAGGAACUCUUAUGUUGGAGGAUAGAGUACUGCUGCAACAUGCUCUUUAGGAGGCUGGCAUGCAGGAAGUUCUCCAGGGAGUGCUGUUGGCAGCAACAUCUGUGACACAGAAGGAAGAGAACCACCUUGGCAGAAAGAAGGAGAGGUGGAUGAUGAAGCCACCUCAAUCAAAAUCUUGGCUGCCCAAACAGGAACUCUGGAGACUGGCAAGGUUGAAUAAUUCUCCAUGGUCAUACAGUCUUUUCCUUUGGAGUGAACAAUCUAGUAAGGAAGUUUUGAACAUGUCUCCCCAGUGCCCAACUCAGCCCAAACUCUUCUAAGUAAAAAAAUAAAUCUCUGACCAUUCCCAUUUUUCAUGACACCAGAAUGAGCAAAGGUGGUACUUAAAGGAGAACUUACAUGUGAAAAUCUGAGGUAAGCUUCAUUUUAUUUCCUUGUGCAACCUCUAU